GACGAACGCUGGCGGCGUGCCUAACACAUGCAAGUCGAACGGAAAGGCCCUGCUUUUGUGGUGUGCUCGAGUGGCGAACGGGGGAGUGACAGGUGAGUAACCUGCUCUUGACUUUGGGAUAACUUCAGGAAACUGGGGCUAAUACCGGAUAGGAUCCCCCGUAGCAGUGUGGGCGGUGGAAAGUUUCGGCGGUUGGGGAUGGACUCGCGGGUUAUGGGCUUGUUGGUGGGGGAGUUGCUUACCAAGGCUGUGACGGGUAGGCGGCACGGGAGGGUGAACGGCGACAAUGGGCCUGAGAGACGGACCAGACUGCAACGGGAGGCAGCGGUGGGAAAUAUGGCACAGCGGGCGGAAGCCUGAGGCAGAAGCGCCGCGUGCGGAAUGCCGGCUUUUGGGUUGAGAACAGCUUUCGCCUGAGACGAAGCGUGAGUGACGGUAACGAAUAAAGAAGCACCGGCUAACUACGUG
RNAcentral lists this ribosomal RNA (468 nucleotides) under uncultured bacterium. Its description in RNAcentral is "partial 16S ribosomal RNA". It matches the Rfam family "Bacterial small subunit ribosomal RNA", at positions 28 to 507 of the family's 1533-position model. The record is from RNAcentral.